ACUUGUGGAUAGCGGAGAAAUUCCAAUCGAACUCGGAGAUAGCUGGUUCUCCCCGAAAUAGCUUUAGGGCUAGCGUUAUUUUAGAUUACCGGAGGUAAAGCACUGAAUGGUCUAGGGGCCGCGAGGUUACCAAAGCCUAUCAAACUCUGAAUGCCGGAUAAUUGAUGAAUAGCAGUCAGACUGUGUGAGAUAAGUCUCAUAGUCAAAAGGGAAACAGCCCAGAUCUACAGCUAAGGUCCCAAAUGAACACUAAGUGGAAAAUGAUGUGAAACUGCGAAGACAACCAGGAUGUUGGCUUAGAAGCAGCCACUCAUUCAAAGAGUGCGUAAUAGCUCACUGGUCGAGUGGUUUUGCGCAGAAAAUGUAACGGGGCUAAGUGUUCAACCGAAGCUUAGGCAUUGCAGUAAUGCAUUGGGUAGGGGAGCGUCGUAUGCGGGGCGAAGUCAGAGCGGAAGCACUGGUGGACUGCAUACGAGUGAGAAUGCCGGAAUAAGUAGCGAGAAUUAUGUGAGAAUCAUAAUGGCCGAAAAUCUAAGGUUUCCUGGGGAAGGUUCGUCCGCCCAGGGUUAGUCGGGAGCUAAGCUCAGGCCGAAAGGCGUAGGCGAUGCACAUACGGUAGAAAUUCCGUAACCACCGAACUUUAAGCUAGAGGGACGCUUUCUUUAAGGUUAUCCCGGGCGAUGGUUGCCCCGGGCGUAAGGGACCGAAAUUUAGUAGGGAAGUAACUGGCGAGAGAGACGAGAAAAGCUCUAGUGUAUACUAAGGUGCCCGUACCGCAAACCGACACAGGUAGAAGGGAUGAGUAUUCUAAGGCCAACGGGAGAAGGGUUGUUAAGGAACUCGGCAAAUUGGCCCCGUAACUUCGGGAUAAGGGGCGCCUGCGAGAGCAGGCCGCAGUGAAAAGGCCCAAGCGACUGUUUAGCAAAAACACAGCUCUCUGCUAAAUCGAAAGAUGACGUAUAGGGGGUGACGCCUGCCCGGUGCUGGAAGGUUAAGGGGAGUGCUUAGCGCAAGCGAAGGUGCGAACUUAAGCCCCAGUAAACGGCGGCCGUAACUAUAACGGUCCUAAGGUAGCGAAAUUCCUUGUCAGGUAAGUUCUGACCCGCACGAAUGGCGUAACGAUUUGGGCACUGUCUCAACAGCCCGCCCGGCGAAAUUGUAGUACCGGUGAAGAUGCCGGUUUCCCGCAACUAGACGGAAAGACCCCAUGGAGCUUCACUGUAGCUUGAUAUUGGACUUCGGUAUUCCAUGUACAGGAUAGGUGGGAGGCUUGGAAGUGAGUGCGCCAGCAUUCAUGGAGCCAUCCUUGGGAUACCACUCUUGGGAUAUUGGAGUUCUAACCUGCGACCAUGAAUCUGGUCGGGGGACAUUGUCAGGUGGGCAGUUUGACUGGGGCGGUCGCCUCCAAAAGAGUAACGGAGGCGCUCAAAGGUUCGUUCAGCACGGACGGAAAUCGUGCACUGAGUGUAAACGCAUAAACGAGCCUAACUGCGAGAAUGACGGUUCGAGCAGUAACGAAAGUUGGAGUUAGUGAUCCGGCGGUAUGUGAAUGGAAAUGCCGUCGCUCAACGGAUAAAAGCUACCCUGGGGAUAACAGGCUGAUCUCCCCCAAGAGUCCACAUCGACGGGGAGGUUUGGCACCUCGAUGUCGGCUCAUCGCAUCCUGGGGCUGAAUUCGGUCCCAAGGGUUUGGCUGUUCGCCAAUUAAAGCGGUACGCGAGCUGGGUUCAGAACGUCGUGAGACAGUUCGGUCCCUAUCUGUUGCGGGCGCAGGAAUAUUGAGAGGAGCUGUCCUUAGUACGAGAGGACCGGGAUGGACGUACCGCUGGUGCACCAGUUGUUCUGCCAAGGGCAUAGCUGGGUAGCUAAGUACGGACGAGAUAAACGCUGAAGGCAUCUAAGCGUGAAACUCCCCUCGAGAUAAGUGUUCCCAUCCUUCGGGAGUAAGGCCCCUUGU
Molecule: ribosomal RNA, 1957 nt
Filed under: human gut metagenome
Description: bacterial LSU rRNA
Rfam family: Bacterial large subunit ribosomal RNA
Source: RNAcentral